UUUUGUUGUAAUUGUCUUGACUAUUUUCUGUCGUGUAUUAUGUUCCAGAUGAACCUGUGAUGUGACUCCUGGGAGUAGUUUGCAAUCACCAUUGGCCCAAAAGGAGCCAUCUACGUGCUCAGUGGGGUCUAGUAAAGGAUAAUAUUAAUUCUUCAGCAGCCAGAGCUUUUGAAGUAGGAACUGAGGGUGUAUAGAAAAGAGCCUGGUAUGAUUCAAGGUCAGGAGCAAACAAUGGCUGCCUUCUUGGGGUGCACACACUCACUGGUUUCGUCAGGGAGCCCUAUCCUUCUGGACACAGGAAUUGGGAUUGGCUCAGGGAAAGGCAGGGCCCUCCCUAGGGUGACUUGUGAGCUUUGUCUUCUGAGAUCAAGUGUCCCAAAGACCAUGUAAGCCUGGAGCUGCUGAAGGACCUACCAUCUGUAGUGAGGCUGCCUGGGGAAUCGAGCCAACAGAAGGGAAAGAAGAGAGUUGGAGAGAGAGAGACUAAAUCAUCACGACGUUGUCUAAGUCCUUCAAUCCGACUAAGUCUGACGCCAGAGCUACCCUCUGGACUUUUCAGUUACAUGGGCCAAUAAAUUCCUUCUUUU
Molecule: long non-coding RNA, 587 nt
Filed under: Pan troglodytes (chimpanzee)
Lineage: Eukaryota; Metazoa; Chordata; Mammalia; Primates; Hominidae
Description: long non-coding RNA NONPTRT015116
Source: RNAcentral